RNAcentral lists this ribosomal RNA (273 nucleotides) under uncultured bacterium. Its description in RNAcentral is "partial 16S ribosomal RNA". It matches the Rfam family "Bacterial small subunit ribosomal RNA", at positions 524 to 796 of the family's 1533-position model. The record is from RNAcentral.
UACAGAGGGUGCGAGCGUUAAUCGGAAUUACUGGGCGUAAAGCGCGCGUAGGCGGCUUUGCAAGUCGGGUGUGAAAUCCCCAGGCUUAACCUGGGAACUGCACCCGAGACUGCUUUGCUAGAGUAUGGGAGAGGGAAGUGGAAUUUCAGGUGUAGCGGUGAAAUGCGUAGAUAUCUGAAGGAACAUCAGUGGCGAAAGCGACUUCCUGGACCAAUACUGACGCUCAUGUGCGAAAGCGUGGGGAGCAAACAGGAUUAGAAACCCCCGUAGUCC